GAUGAACGCUAGCGGCAGGCCUAACACAUGCAAGUCGAGGGAGAAGCCCUUUCGGGGGCAGAAACCGGCGCACGGGUGCGUAACGCGUAUGCAACCUACCUUUCACAGGGGGAUAGCCCGAAGAAAUUUGGAUUAAUACCCCAUAAUAUUAUUGGAUGGCAUCAUUUGAUAAUUAAAACUGCGGUGGUGAAAGAUGGGCAUGCGUCCUAUUAGCUAGUUGGAGUGGUAACGGCACCCCAAGGCUACGAUAGGUAGGGGUCCUGAGAGGGAGAUCCCCCACACUGGUACUGAGACAGGGACCAGACUCCUACGGGAGGCAGCAGUGAGGAAUAUUGGUCAAUGGUCGGAAGACUGAACCAGCCAUGCCGCGUGCAGGAAGAAUGCCUAAUGGGUUGUAAACUGCUUUUAUAUGGGAAGAAUAAGGCGUACGUGUACGUUGAUGACGGUACCAUAUGAAUAAGCAUCGGCUAACUCCGUG
Molecule: ribosomal RNA, 478 nt
Filed under: uncultured bacterium
Lineage: Bacteria
Description: partial 16S ribosomal RNA
Rfam family: Bacterial small subunit ribosomal RNA
Source: RNAcentral